Molecule: ribosomal RNA, 440 nt
Filed under: uncultured bacterium
Lineage: Bacteria
Description: partial 16S ribosomal RNA
Rfam family: Bacterial small subunit ribosomal RNA
Source: RNAcentral
CUACGGGUUGCUGCAGUGAGGAAUAUUGCACAAUGGGGGGAACCCUGAUGCAGCAACGCCGCGUGGAGGAUGACGCAUUUCGGUGUGUAAACUCCUUUUAUAUGUCAAGAAAAUGACGGUAGCAUAUGAAUAAGCACCGGCUAACUCCGUGCCAGCAGCCGCGGUAAUACGGGAGGGUGCAAGCGUUACUCGGAAUUACUGGGCGUAAAGGACGCGUAGGCGGGUUGGAAAGUCAGGUGUGAAAUCCUACAGCUUAACUGUAGAACUGCACUUGAAACUUCUAAUCUAGAGUAUGGGAGGGGGAGAUGGAAUUAGUGGUGUAGGGGUAAAAUCCGUAGAUAUCACUAGGAAUACCUAAAGCGAAGGCGAUCUCCUGGAACAUUACUGACGCUAAGGCGUGAAAGCGUGGGGAGCAAACAGGAUUAGAUACCCGUGUAGUC